AUGAACGCUGGCGGCGUGCCUAAUACAUGCAAGUCGAACGGUACUCUUUCGGGAGUACAGUGGCGAACGGGUGAGUAAUACAUAAGGAACCUGCCCUCGGGACCGGGAUAGCUGAUGGAAACGUCAGGUAAUGGCGGAUGUGAGUCAUUAUGGCAUCAUGAUGACUUGAAAGGAUGCAGCAAUGCAUCGCGCGGGGAUGGCCUUAUGGCGCAUUAGCCAGUUGGCGGGUAACGGCCCACCAAAGCGAUGAUGCGUAGCCGAUCUGAGAGGACGACCGGCCACAUUGGGACUGAGACACGGCCCAGACUCCUACGGGAGGCAGCAGUAGGGAAUUUUCGGCAAUGGGCGCAAGCCUGACCGAGCAACGCCGCGUGAGUGUUAAGGCCUUCGGGUUGUAAAGCUCUGUUGCCGGGGACGAACGGUACUUAUAGGAAAUGAUAAGUAAGUGACGGUACCCGGCGAGAAAGCCACGGCUAACUACGUG
Molecule: ribosomal RNA, 484 nt
Filed under: uncultured bacterium
Lineage: Bacteria
Description: bacterial SSU rRNA
Rfam family: Bacterial small subunit ribosomal RNA
Source: RNAcentral